CUCUCAGUGAUUUCCUCACAACCUGAGAUAUCAAAUAACUCCGAGACGGAGAUAAAUAAAUGAACAUCGUAAACCAUAUAAUAUUGCGGAAGACUCACAAUUAAAAGAUACAAUAAGAGAUAUUUUAGAAGAAUUGUAUUCUGAUACAGCAAAGCCUGAAACUACUCAUAACAUUGUCAUCAAGAAUUGAUACGACUGACUAAGGUAGCAGAGACUAAGGUAGAGGAUAUUAUUGAAAGUGAUUCACUUCUCUCUGGAUUACUUUCAAAUAUUAGGAUAGAGGAGCUCACAUCACAGAUUGCUGUUGCAUAAGGGCAAGGUUCCACCACAUGACAGGACAGUUCUUGAUCUUGAGAAGGCUAUUUUGCGAAAGCUAUCGUGUGUAUUUUGAAGAGAAAACAUCGGGAAGUAAGUUGAAAACACAUUUGGGAGAAAUAUCAUAUUUGUUUCGAACAUAUUAAACUUGUUACAAUUCUACUAACAAUUACUAACAAUUCUAAACGAUUCUAAAUGAGGACAUUCUAAUAUUGUAAACGUUUUAUAUAUAUAUUGAUGUUUGUGCAGUCAUAUAUAUAACUUAUUUCCUUGUAAAACUAAAUAUCUUCGAAAUGAAAUGCACCAAAAUCGACACUCAUGUCUGGUCGCUCAAUGUUGUAUAAAUAAAGCCCACUUUAGA
This is a long non-coding RNA of Dinoponera quadriceps, 676 nucleotides long. RefSeq lists it as uncharacterized. The record is from RefSeq and is a predicted model, not a curated record. NCBI's taxonomy places the organism in Eukaryota, Metazoa, Arthropoda, Insecta, Hymenoptera, Formicidae. The transcript has 3 exons.